AUUGAACGCUGGCGGCAGGCUUAACACAUGCAAGUCGAGCGGGGGCUUCGGUCCUAGCGGCGAACGGGUGAGGAAUGCCUGGGAAUCUGCCUGGUAGUGGGGGAUAACGAUUCGAAAGGGUCGCUAAUACCGCAUACGUCCUACGGGAGAAAGCAGGGGACCUUCGGGCCUUGCGCUAUCAGAUGAGCCCAGGUCGGAUUAGCUAGUAGGUGAGGUAAAGGCUCACCUAGGCGACGAUCCGUAGCUGGUCUGAGGAGGAUGAUCAGCCACACUGGAACUGAGACACGGUCCAGACUCCUACGGGAGGCAGCAGUGGGGAAUAUUGGACAAUGGGCGAAAGCCUGAUCCAGCCAUGCCGCGUGUGUGAAGAAGGCCUUCGGUUGGUUAAAGC
Molecule: ribosomal RNA, 391 nt
Filed under: uncultured bacterium
Lineage: Bacteria
Description: bacterial SSU rRNA
Rfam family: Bacterial small subunit ribosomal RNA
Source: RNAcentral